Streptomyces sp. NRRL F-6602 is the source of this 195-nucleotide non-coding RNA. NCBI's taxonomy places the organism in Bacteria, Bacillati, Actinomycetota, Actinomycetes, Kitasatosporales, Streptomycetaceae. The record is from Rfam.
ACACAGGAAAGGAGGUGAUCCGGCUGAUGAUCAAUCACCGGACGUGUGAGGUGGCUGCGGCCUGAGGCCGACGCCACUAGCGUGACGCCGGUUUCGCCGGCCAAUCCACAGCAGUCACCCGGCCCGUGGGCUCGUCGGACUCGUCCGACCGACGCCCUCCGCCCCGCGGAGGGAGUCGCUCACGGGCCGUUCUGC